Molecule: ribosomal RNA, 468 nt
Filed under: uncultured bacterium
Lineage: Bacteria
Description: partial 16S ribosomal RNA
Rfam family: Bacterial small subunit ribosomal RNA
Source: RNAcentral
GACGAACGCUGGCGGCGUGCUUAACACAUGCAAGUCGAACGGAAAGGCCCUGCUUUUGUGGGGUUCUCGAUUGGGGAACGGGGGAGUAACACGUGAGUAACCUGCCCUUGACUUUGGGAUAAAUUUAGGAAACUGGGGCUAAUACCGGAUAGGAGCUCUUGCUCCAUGGUGGUGGUUGGAAAGUUUCGGCGGUGGGGGCUGGAAUCGCGGCUUAUCCGCUUGUUUGGGGGGUAGGGGCUGACGAAGGCUUUGACGGGUAGCCGGCCUGGGAGGGGUACCGGCGACAUUGGGACUGCGAUACGGCCCAGACUCCUACCGGAGGCAGCAGUGGGGAAUCUUGCAGAAUGGGCGGACGCCUGAUGCGGCAACGCCGCGUGCGGGAUGACGGCCUUCGGGUUGUAAACCGCUUUCGCCUGUGACGAAGCGUGAGUGACGGUAAUGGGUAAAGAAGCACCGGCUAACUACGUG